Long non-coding RNA from Olea europaea var. sylvestris, 1174 nucleotides. RefSeq lists it as uncharacterized. The transcript has 4 exons. Lineage: Eukaryota; Viridiplantae; Streptophyta; Magnoliopsida; Lamiales; Oleaceae. The record is from RefSeq and is a predicted model, not a curated record.
UAUAACUCCCAAUUAAAAAGUCUCCACUUAUUCUCAAAUCUCUCCUACCCUAACCCUCCAAGCUUCUAUUUGUGUGUUCCAGCCGCGUCUGCUUCUACUCUACACAUCUUCUACAGUAUUUCUGGUGUCCGGCUAAAAUUGAAGUAUGACGUCGUGUUGGAGCUCGUGGGUUUUAAAAGAAGAGUGAAACAUUCACUACUGGAGAUGUUUUUAAGAAUUGUAUCCUUAAAAUGGAGGAAAGGGAGAGAGUCAAGAGACGUGUUUUUUCUUUGGACUCUGAGACUUCAAUUGUUUUAAAAGUGGCCAAGCAGGCUAUUGACCUGAACGUGUGGAUUGAGGAAGCACGGGUAAAAUUUUCGUCGAAGAAGUUAAAGGCAGAGACAUAUUCCUGUUGUCUGUUGAGAUAGUUUUGGCUUCAUCUCUUUCCUGCCUUGAAGGAACUAUACGAGAUUGUUCCAACUCGCAUAUUGAAAUGAGAAAACAGAAUCAACAAAAUAGUUUUAUAGGUGGAUUGUUAAAUGAAGAGCUAUCAACCUAGUCAUACGAUAAAGAAGGAAAGAGUAAACUAUUAUAUUAAGGAAAGAGUAAACUAUUAUAUUGGUUGUAAUCUUAUUUUUUCCCCUCUUUCCUGAGUUUAAGCAAUCAUGGAUAAAAAAGGGAAAGAUUAAGCUAUUAUAUUGGUUGUUCUUAUUUACUUUUAUCCAAAAUCAGUAAAAUUUUGCUUAUAAAAUUGUGCAAUUAGUUUAUUUCGAUUUACAUUCGAUCAGAUCUUUGUUUUAUUUUUUUCAAUUUUCUUGGUUGUGAAAGUGGUUGUUAUCAUAUGUUGAUCUCUUACUGCUUGCCUGUGGAUUUUGUUUAUUUAUAGCAUAACAUCAUGAAAAGGAAGAUGCUUUUUGAUGGGAAGCUAGGCAUUGCUGGUGGUUGAGGGACUCAAAAGGACUUUGAUUUGUUUGUGAUUGAAGCUGGCAGUGGUGAAGUUCCUUCCUCACAAUUUCCUAGUCUAGAACUCAUUUUUCGUUUAGUCUAUACACCGUUUGUAAUAAAAGUCUAGGAUACAUUUGUAACUAAGAUAUUAAGGUGCAUGACACAUUUUGUGGUUAAAUAUAGGAUAUUUAAAUUUAUGUAAUGACUAUUGAUAAUUAUUUUAUGUGCAAUGACAAUUACCUUUUAUACU